This 72-nucleotide transfer RNA is filed under the name Rhodoferax koreensis. Its description in RNAcentral is "Rhodoferax koreense tRNA". It matches the Rfam family "tRNA". From Rfam's summary of the family: Transfer RNA (tRNA) molecules are approximately 80 nucleotides in length. Their secondary structure includes four short double-helical elements and three loops (D, anti-codon, and T loops). The record is from Rfam by way of RNAcentral. Lineage: Bacteria; Pseudomonadati; Pseudomonadota; Betaproteobacteria; Burkholderiales; Comamonadaceae.
AGGCGCGUAGCUCAGUGGUAGAGCAUCUCUUUGACGUGGAGAGGGUCGGGGAUUCGAUCUCCUCCGCGCCUA